Molecule: ribosomal RNA, 253 nt
Filed under: uncultured bacterium
Lineage: Bacteria
Description: partial 16S ribosomal RNA
Rfam family: Bacterial small subunit ribosomal RNA
Source: RNAcentral
UACGGAGGGGGCUAGCGUUGUUCGGAAUUACUGGGCGUAAAGCGCACGUAGGCGGCUUUGUAAGUUAGAGGUGAAAGCCCGGGGCUCAACUCCGGAAUUGCCUUUAAGACUGCAUCGCUAGAACGUCGGAGAGGUGAGUGGAAUUCCGAGUGUAGAGGUGAAAUUCGUAGAUAUUCGGAAGAACACCAGUGGCGAAGGCGACUCACUGGACGACUGUUGACGCUGAGGUACGAAAGCGUGGGGAGCAAACAGG